Molecule: ribosomal RNA, 253 nt
Filed under: uncultured bacterium
Lineage: Bacteria
Description: partial 16S ribosomal RNA
Rfam family: Bacterial small subunit ribosomal RNA
Source: RNAcentral
UACGGAGGGUGCAAGCGUUAUUCGGAUUUAUUGGGCGUAAAGCGCACGUAGGCGGUUUUGUAAGUCUGAUGUGAAAGCCCGUGACUCAAUCACGGAAGUGCAUUGGAUACUGCAAGACUAGAGUAUUGGAGGGGAGAACGGAAUUCCUGGUGUAGAGGUGAAAUCCGUAGAUAUCAGGAGGAACAACGGUGGCGAAGGCGGUUCUCUGGACAAUAACUGACGCUCAGGUGCGAAAGCGUGGGGAGCAAACAGG